UACGGGGGGGCAAGCGUUGUUCGGAAUUACUGGGCGUAAAGGGCUCGUAGGCGGCCAACUAAGUCAGACGUGAAAUCCCUCAGCUUAACUGGGGAACUGCGUCUGAUACUGGAUGGCUUGGAUUCGGGAGAGGAAUGCGGAAUUCCAGGUGUAGCGGUGAAAUGCGUAGAUAUCUGGAGGAACACCGGUGGCGAAGGCGGCGUUCUGGACUGCAACUGACACUGAGGAACGAAAGCCAGGGGAGCAAACGGG
This 252-nucleotide ribosomal RNA is filed under the name uncultured bacterium. RNAcentral's name for it is "partial 16S ribosomal RNA". It matches the Rfam family "Bacterial small subunit ribosomal RNA", at positions 524 to 776 of the family's 1533-position model. The record is from RNAcentral.